RNAcentral lists this long non-coding RNA (2062 nucleotides) under Triticum aestivum (bread wheat). Its description in RNAcentral is "long non-coding RNA (TAES_LNC026493)". The record is from RNAcentral. Lineage: Eukaryota; Viridiplantae; Streptophyta; Magnoliopsida; Poales; Poaceae.
GUUAGCACUAAUCUUGACGUGUGUGAUUCUGUUAGCAGCCGAGUCCCGCGGAUGUUACGAGCGGGGCGUCCGGUGGAGUUGCCCAGUCCUGGAGUGCAUGGAUAAGGUAGUUAUCUAGUUGCAUGCAUGUAGCUAGUGGGUUAGUGGCCCGGUCAUGUGGUAGUGGCCGGUGUGGUGCAUGCGUGCUGUAGUUAGUGCUUGGGGUUAGUGGCCGAUCUGGGCGGCUGGGCUGGGCGUAAGUCUGUGUAUUAAAAGGGCCCCGGUGCUGUUGUGUAGAGGAGCCGUGAGAGCUGGCAGAAAAGAUGUAGCACUUGUGUGACCCAGGAGGAGAGCCUCUUGGCAAAGCUAGUUGGCUUCCUUCCCUGGUGUGUGUGUGCGUGUGUUUUUUCUGGGUUUCUUCCAUGGUGUGUGUUCUUGAGAGAACCAAGAGGAAGGGAGAGUUGUGUGAGGAAGAAGAAGCGGCGUUCCGAGGAGCGGCGGCGCCAACAUUUGGUAUCAGAGCUUGGUGUCUUGGGCGUGCUUGCCGUGCCGGAGGCGUGGCAGCGAUGGUGGCGCUCGCCGGCGGCUGCGCGAUGGAGCUCCGGGCCGUGUGUCGGCCCAUGGAGGUGGGCGGCGCUGUGGCUCUCAUGGCGCGUGGCGGAUGCGGCGGGCGGUGACGUCGUGCGUGCGGCGACCACGGAGGCCGCCGAGGCGCUGCGUGGUGGCGCGGCGGCGCAGCACGGCAUGGCGGCAUGGAGGCCGCAGCGGUGCAGGGCAAUAAGACGUGGCGGCGAGCCGGACGCGACCGGUGCGUGUUAUGGGCGCGCACUGGACGUGUCGAGCGCGUCGGGACCGCGGGAGUGGACCGCGUCGAGGCGCUGGACCUGGUUGCGCAGACCGCGUACGUGCGCGGCGGGAGCGCGGGCUGGGAGCGCGGGGACGUGGGGAGUGUGCGCGAAGGGCACGGCGGUCGCGGAGACGAGGAGGUCGCGAAAGACCUUCGUGGUGGCGCAAAGGUCGCGACGGCUCGGGGCGACAACCGUGGAAGGUGCGUGGCACGGAGGCGCGGCGUGGCGGCUGCCAUGGCGGACGCGGAGGCGACACGCGGUGAGCGUCUGGUGCUGUCGGGUUCGUCGGGCACGUCGGAUGCGUGCGGGACGUGCGGGACGCAGAGGGAUGCCAGGCGUGUGUCGCUGGUGGAGAUGGAGCUCGGCGUGUGUCGCCGGAGUCGUGACGGAGCACGGUGCGACCGGCGUCGUUGCGCCAGGUCGGGUCCGCAAGCUGGGUCACGCUCGUGACGACGAUAACGACGGCAGCUGCAACAACUUCGACGACGGCAAGGCGUGUCAAGAUUAAGGGGGGGAAUGUUAGCACUAAUCUUGACGUGUGUGAUUCUGUUAGCAGCCGAGUCCCGCGGAUGUUACGAGCGGGGCGUCCGGUGGAGUUGCCCAGUCCUGGAGUGCAUGGAUAAGGUAGUUAUCUAGUUGCAUGCAUGUAGCUAGUGGGUUAGUGGCCCGGUCAUGUGGUAGUGGCCGGUGUGGUGCAUGCGUGCUGUAGUUAGUGCUUGGGGUUAGUGGCCGAUCUGGGCGGCUGGGCUGGGCGUAAGUCUGUGUAUUAAAAGGGCCCCGGUGCUGUUGUGUAGAGGAGCCGUGAGAGCUGGCAGAAAAGAUGUAGCACUUGUGUGACCCAGGAGGAGAGCCUCUUGGCAAAGCUAGUUGGCUUCCUUCCCUGGUGUGUGUGUGCGUGUGUUUUUUCUGGGUUUCUUCCAUGGUGUGUGUUCUUGAGAGAACCAAGAGGAAGGGAGAGUUGUGUGAGGAAGAAGAAGCGGCGUUCCGAGGAGCGGCGGCGCCAACACCGCUACCUACAUGUGCUAUUUUCAAAUCAGCCCAGCAAGCACAUGACGUGCUUGCGUAUCCAGCGCGCACCCAAGGCCCACGUACACCGCUGGCAUAGCAGCCCACGGCACGCAUGUAUUUCAACUGAGCAGCUGCCGUAUUCCUCCAACGAAAAAAGCAUGCACACAUCGCCACGCUCUACUGCACGGCGCCAGAUUUCGGCCUGCACGAUGCUCGGCCACCAAAAC